Molecule: ribosomal RNA, 897 nt
Filed under: uncultured bacterium
Lineage: Bacteria
Description: bacterial SSU rRNA
Rfam family: Bacterial small subunit ribosomal RNA
Source: RNAcentral
CCGUGUGAGGUAAUUAGAAAACUACAGGUCUAGAGAGUGGUAGAGGUAAAUGGAAUUCCAAGUGGAGCGGUGAAAUGCGUAGAGAUUUGGAGGAACACCAGUGGCGAAGGCGGUUUACUGGGCCACAUCUGACGCUGAUGUACGAAAGCGUGGGGAGCAAACAGGAUUAGAUACCCUGGUAGUCCACGCCGUAAACGAUGAGUGCUAAGUAUCGGAGGAAUCGGUGCUCAAGCUAACGCAGUAAGCACUCCGCCUGGGGAGUACGGUCGCAAGACUGAAACUCAAAGGAAUUGACGGGGACUCGCACAAGCGGUGGAGCAUGCGGUUUAAUUCGAUGCAACGCGAAGAACCUUACCAGGUCUUGACAGUGUAAAGAAUACUUAAGAGAUUAAGGGCUAAGAAUUAAGCUUGCUUAUUUCACUUUAUAAACAGGUGGUGCAUGGUUGUCGUCAGCUCGUGUCGUGAGAUGUUGGGUUAAGUCCCGCAACGAGCGCAACCCUUAUUGCUAGUUGCCAUCAUUAAGUUGGGCACUCUAGCAAGACUGCCGGUGACAAAUCGGAUGAAGGUGGGGAUGACGUCAAAUCAUCAUGCCCCUUAUGACCUGGGCUACACGCGUGCUACAAUGGCUAAUACAAAGAGUUGCAAAACCGUGAGGUAGAGCUAAUCUCAUAAAGUUAGUCUCAGUUCGGAUUGUAGUCUGCAACUCGACUACAUGAAGUUGGAAUCGCUAGUAAUCGUAAAUCAGAAUGUUACGGUGAAUACGUUCUCGAGUCUUGUACACACCGCCCGUCACACCAUGAAAGUUUAUAAUACCCGAAGCUGGUGGCCUAACCGUAAGGAGGGAGCCAUCGAAGGUAGGAUAGAUGAUUGGGGUGAAGUCGUAACAAGGUAACCGUA